This 1893-nucleotide ribosomal RNA is filed under the name Enteromyces callianassae. RNAcentral's name for it is "partial 28S ribosomal RNA". It matches the Rfam family "Eukaryotic large subunit ribosomal RNA", at positions 114 to 1437 of the family's 3401-position model. Lineage: Eukaryota; Ichthyosporea; Ichthyophonida; Eccrinaceae. The record is from RNAcentral.
UUUCGAAGCUCGGCGGGCGACCGUCGCGCGUUGUAAGCUGAAGGGGCGCCAUCCAAGUUGCACGGCCCGGGUAUAGAUCCGUUGGAAAGCGGUAUCGCAGAGGGUGAGAAUCCCGUCCGUGACCCGGGAGAAAGGGCAUCAGCUCCGUGCAUCGUUGCGUUGCGCUUCCGAAGAGUCGGGUUGUUUGGGAAUGCAGCCCAAAAAGGGUGGUAAACUUCAUCUAAGGCUAAAUACAGGCACGAGACCGAUAGCGAACAAGUACCGUGAGGGAAAGAUGAAAAGCACUUUGAAAAGAGAGUCAAAAAGUACGUGAAACCGUUAGGAGGGAAACGAAUGAAGCUAGCAUUUGUGCGCGAUCGCAAUCAGCCGGACGUCCACGCGGGCGCGGGGUCGGAGUCUGGAGAAAUCCGGAUUACUUUGGAGAGCUUCGUCGAGUGCGCCGUAAGAAAGCGCGAUGACGACGAGCCUCACGGCGUCGCGAAUCGUCGAUACCCGCGGGGAACGAGAAAGCCGGUGCACUUGCGGUAGGCGUCAGGUCAACAUCAGUUCGGUAAAUAAUUAUUUCUUGCCAGACGAAGGAGACAGCAACUGUCGGGGAAAGGUGACCGUGGAGGCGAGCGGCUUCGAUUCGUCGAGGCAGCCACGCGUUCACGGGGCUUACAGACCCCGAUCGAAAGUUUAAUUCUAGCGUCGCGGCCUGGACUGAGGAAACGUGGCAGCGCGGUUUUUCCUUCUCGCCCGAUAAGGAACGGGAAGGGAACGACUUUGCAGAUCUCCCGCUGGGGUUGCGGGCCGACGGUCACUGAGCCGAAAAGGAGCAGUGGCGGAAGGCAUCCUACAAGCGCCUCACGAACGUCAUAACCGGCUACGGGGGUGUAGUGGCAUAAUGCGCGCUUGCGAUGUUGGCGAAAUGGCUUUAUCCGACCCGUCUUGAAACACGGACCAAGGAGUCUAACAUGUGCGCGAGUCUCGGUGACAACCCUUGCGAGGGGCGCAAUGAAAGUGAAGGCGCGCCAAUGUGUCGUGCGCAUAAGAACGCCGUGAGGUGAGAGGCUUUUUUUUUUUUUUUUUUUUUUUCCCCCUUCGGGGGGGAAAAAAAAAAAAAGAGGGAGAGCCGCAUCAUCGACCGAUCCGGACGGGCCGGGGAUCAUGUCGGGGGAAGACGGGACGAGUGAAAUCGAAACGUGCAACCGGACACCUCGGACUUCCCGAAAGAUUUGAGUAGGAGCGUACAUGUUGGGACCCGAAAGAUGGUGAACUAUGCCUGAAGAGGGUGAAGUCUGAGGAAACUCAGAUGGAAGCUCGCAGCGAUUCUGACGUGCAAAUCGAUCGUCUGAUUUGGGUAUAGGGGCGAAAGACUAAUCGAACCAUCUAGUAGCUGGUUCCCUCCGAAAUUUCCCUCAGGAUAGCUGGAACUCGAAACGCAGUUUUAUCAGGUAAAGCGAAUGAUUAGAGGCCUUGGGGUCGAAAUGACCUCAACCUAUUCUCAAACUUUAAAUGGGUAAGAAGCGCGACUUGCUUAAGUGAAGCCGUGCCGAACUGGAAUGCAAGAGUUCCAAGUGGGCCAUUUUUGGUAAGCAGAACUGGCGAUGCGGGAUGAACCGAACGCGAAGUUAAAGUGCCAAAGUUCACGCUCACCUAGAACCCAGAAAAGGUGUUGGCUGAUGAAGACAGCAGGACGGUGGCCAUGGAAGUCGGAAUCCGCCAAGGAGUGUGUAACAACUCACCUGCCGAAUCAGCCAGCCCUGAAAAUGGAUGGCGCUCAAGCGUGACACUUAUACUUUGCCGUUGCCGCGAAUAAGAAAAGAAAACUUUAAUUUGAGCCGCAACGAGUAGGAGGGCGUGGAGGUAAUUGGUGAAGAAGCUUAGGGCGCGAGCCCGAGUGAAACUGCC